Molecule: ribosomal RNA, 424 nt
Filed under: Fusobacteriota bacterium
Lineage: Bacteria; Fusobacteriati; Fusobacteriota
Description: Fusobacteria bacterium partial 16S ribosomal RNA
Rfam family: Bacterial small subunit ribosomal RNA
Source: RNAcentral
UGAGGAAUAUUGGUCAAUGGUCGAGAGACUGAACCAGCCAAGUCGCGUGAAGGAUGACUGCCCUAUGGGUUGUAAACUUCUUUUACAAGGGAAUAAAAUGAGAUACGUGUAUUUUAUUGCAUGUACCUUGUGAAUAAGCAUCGGCUAACUCCGUGCCAGCAGCCGCGGUAAUACGGAGGAUGCGAGCGUUAUCCGGAUUUAUUGGGUUUAAAGGGUGCGUAGGUGGGCUGUUAAGUCAGCGGUGAAAGUUUGUCGCUUAACGAUAAAAUUGCCGUUGAAACUGGUAGUCUUGAGUAUAGAUGAAGUAGGCGGAAUGCGUGGUGUAGCGGUGAAAUGCAUAGAGAUCACGCAGAACUCCGAUUGCGAAGGCAGCUUACUAAGGUAUAACUGACACUGAAGCACGAAAGCGUGGGUAUCAAACAGG